Molecule: ribosomal RNA, 307 nt
Filed under: uncultured bacterium
Lineage: Bacteria
Description: bacterial SSU rRNA
Rfam family: Bacterial small subunit ribosomal RNA
Source: RNAcentral
GCACCGGCUAACUCCGUGCCAGCAGCCGCGGUAAUACGGAGGGUGCGAGCGUUAAUCGGAAUUACUGGGCGUAAAGCGCAUGCAGGUGGUUUGUUAAGUCAGAUGUGAAAGACCCGGGGCUCAACCUCGGAAUAGCAUUUGAAACUGGCAGACUAGAGUACUGUAGAGGGGGGUAGGAAUUUCAGGUGUAGCGGUGAAAUGCGUAGAGAUCUGAAGGAAUACCGGUGGCGAAGGCGGCCCCCUCGGACAGAUACUGACACUCAGAUGCGAAAGCGUGGGGAGCAAACAGGAUUAGAUACCCUGGUAG